Molecule: ribosomal RNA, 535 nt
Filed under: Icelus mororanis
Lineage: Eukaryota; Metazoa; Chordata; Actinopteri; Perciformes; Cottidae
Description: partial 16S ribosomal RNA
Rfam family: Bacterial large subunit ribosomal RNA
Source: RNAcentral
GCCCAACAGCUAGCCCACCUAAACAAUUUCAACAAACCCCUGUUAAUAACCCUUAAUACCCCAGUAUUUAAAUUAAACAAACCAUUUUUCCCCCUUAGUAUAGGCGAUAGAAAAGGAACUACGGCGCAAUAGAGAAAGUACCGCAAGGGAAUGCUGAAAGAGAAAUGAAACAACCCAGUAAAGCUUAGAAAAGCAGAGAUUUAUUCUCGUACCUUUUGCAUCAUGAUUUAGCGAGUGUACCCCAAGCAAAGAGUACUUUAGUUUGACGACCCGAAACUACGUGAGCUACUCCAAGACAGCCUAUUAAUAGGGCAUACCCGUCUCUGUGGCAAAAGAGUGGGGAGAGCUUUGAGUAGAGGUGAUAAACCUACCGAACCUAGUUAUAGCUGGUUGUCCAAGAAAUGAAUAGAAGUUCAGCCUCUUGGCUUCUCGUUUCACCCUAGUUUUACCCCUAUUGAUGCCUUAGAGAAACCGAGAGAGUUAGUCAAAGGGGGUACAGCCCCUUUGAAUCAAGACACAACUUUACCAGGAGGGU